GGGGAUUUGGCUCAGUGGUAGAGCGCUUGCCUAGGAAGCGCAAGGUCCUGGGUUCGAUCCCCAGCUCCG
This is a non-coding RNA of Rattus norvegicus (Norway rat), 69 nucleotides long. The record is from Rfam. NCBI's taxonomy places the organism in Eukaryota, Metazoa, Chordata, Mammalia, Rodentia, Muridae.